Molecule: long non-coding RNA, 2397 nt
Organism: Vitis riparia (riverbank grape)
Lineage: Eukaryota; Viridiplantae; Streptophyta; Magnoliopsida; Vitales; Vitaceae
Exons: 9
Source: RefSeq, a predicted model, not a curated record
GUCACUCAACACUUCAAUUUUCCCAAAAUUGAUAUUGACUAGCAAUGGUACCUGAUUCAUAUAGGAUUUCUGUUCUUUAAUUGAAGCAUGUCAUCUACAAUAUAUUUCAGAUGCAGUUGUUGUCAAUUGAAUGUACAAGGAUAAUGGUGGGGCUUGGACAUCUCUAUGAGGGGAUUCAAUAUUUCAUCACCUUUGAUACCUUGAAUAAAUGUUGCAGUGAGCUUCUUUUGUCAGAUAAUGAGGAUGAGGUUGGCAUGAAAAUUGCAAGAAUUCCAAAGCUUGAGUUGGUGUCUCCAGUAUUGAGGCCUGGAAAUGUUACCAUUCUAGAAAUUCUUAAAAUCAUCAACUGCUCUUGCUUAGCAACUUUAUGAGACUGGAUAGAUAGCUUGACAUCUCUUAAUGAGACUCAAAAUCCUAUUGGCCCUGAAUUGAAAUCCCUGCUAGAGGGGGGCUUCAAUGUUCCUGAAAAGGAUAUUGACCAUCAACAAAUGAUCAUAAAGGAUUUUUAUUCUUUAAUUCAAGCAUGUCAUCUAUAAGAUAUUUCAGUUCGACUUCCUAAACUCAUCACAAUUAAUUUUGAAAGAUGUUCAAGAUGCUCGACUUUGCCAUGCUUUGUUCAACUUCCUUGCCUCAAGUCUCUACAGCUUGAUGAUCCGGAAAAGGUGGAGUACAUGGAGUGUUCAUCAAAAGGGUCGUUCUUCCCAUUUCUUCAAAAACUCAAUCUUACUCGAAUGCCAAAGUUGAAGGAAUUAUGGAGGGACUUACCAACACAACCAACUCCUUCAUUUCCUUAUCUUUCACAAUUAGAUAUCAAGUAUUGUAAGGAGUUGGUGUCCUUGGAAUUGCUUUCAUCUCCUCUACUUUCUAGUUUAAAGAUCUCGCAAUGCCCUGAGCUCACAUCCUUACUACUGCCUUCACCUCCUCUUCUUUCAAAAUUAGAGAUAGGGAGUUGUGAUGAGUUGGCAUCCUUGGAACUGCAUUCAUCUCCUCUUCUUUCUAGUUUAGACAUCCUUGCAAGUGUCUUCGUUACCUUGUCUUAAGAAACUACUAUUGUCUACAGUGAGAGAAGAGAUAUUGCGGCAGUUAAUGCUUAUUAUUGGUUCUCCGUUGGAGUCUUGUCCAUAUGGAAGAUAUGUGAUUUGAUAUUUCUUCCAGAUAAGCUGGUGUAUUGACAUGUUUCAACUCUUCAAUAUCUCUCAAUUUACAAUUGUUGUGGUUUGACAACAUUACCACACAGGAAGUCUCACCUCAUUUACACACCUUAAUAUAUACAAUUGUGAGAACCUUGCAGAAAGAUGUUGAAGGGAACCGACCCAAGAUUGAUUAUAUCCCAUAAAUUAACAUGUACCUACAUUAUUGAAGAGUGAACUUAUACAGAAUGUCAUUUCAGAUUUCACCUUCCUUAAGAAGCUUAUGAUUGGCAUAAUGCCUAAAGGAUGCUAAAAGGGGACAAGUCUUGGGUUACCCUAAAGAUUUCACAUGGCACAUAAAUUCAUAUCUAUUAGAUGACUAGUGCAGAAAUGACUUUUGCUCUGUUUUCAACUCAGGUCUGCCAGUGGACAUAUAUAUUUCAGUUUGCUGUAAAACGUGAUAAUGGUUGUGCUUGGACAUCUCCACCAGUGGAUUCAAUAUGUCAUUAACUUUGAGACCUUGAAUAAAUGUUGCAGACAACUUUUGUCGUAUAAUGGGGAUGAGAUUUGCAUGCAAGUGGCAAGGACUCAGAAGCUUGAGUUGAUGUCUCCAUCAUUGGAGCCUCAAAAUGUUACCAUUCUGGAAAUUCUUAAAAUACCGUUCUUGUUUAGCAACUUUAUCAGAUUGGAUAAACAUCCAAAGAUCUCUUAAUGAGCUACAAAAUGUUGUCUGCCUUGAAUUUGAAUCACCGUGCUCCUCAGUUCUUCAAUGUUUCCAGAGUUGAUAUUGACCGAUUUCACCUUGUUUAAGAAACUUGAGGUUUAUUCAUUGGCCCAAAGGUUUCUUACAUGCCGUUGCAAAUAAGGAUGAUGGUGAGGAUGAGCUGAAUAUUGCCCAUGCCUUGGAAAAAAGUUAUUGAGGGUUGGUGCAAAGGCUUACAGCACCUAUGGAGCUCUGAGUUUAUUCUUGCCCUCUAGUACAUCACUACCAGAAGAGAUGCAUUCCCUUAGCACCCUACAGAGACUAAUACAGAAAGCCACUCCAGGAAAACUAAACCACUUCAAAUCUUUGAUAUGAAAAUGGGCAGGGCUGAUCGCUUUCACAAUAUAUGGAUGGAAAACUAAACCACUUUGGUGUUCAAUAUGAAAGUGGGUAGGGUUGAUCAAUUUCACAAUAUAUGGAUGGUUGCUUAUAUAAUGAAGUUCAUUUAUUUCCGAAUAUUAAUGAGAGAAGGGGAAGAUGUUGAUUUUUAUGUUGAAGAUCAUA